This 443-nucleotide ribosomal RNA is filed under the name uncultured bacterium. Its description in RNAcentral is "SSU rRNA". It matches the Rfam family "Bacterial small subunit ribosomal RNA", at positions 26 to 518 of the family's 1533-position model. The record is from RNAcentral.
AGAACGAACGCUGGCGGCAGGCUUAACACGUGCAAGUCGAGCGCCCCGCAAGGGGAGCGGCAGACGGGUGAGUAACGCGUGGGAACAUACCCUCCGGUUCGGAAUAGCUCAGGGAAACUUGGAUUAAUACCGGAUACGGCCUAGCGGCGAAAGAUUCAUCGCCGGAGGAUUGGCCCGCGUUCGAUUAGCUAGUUGGUGAGGUAACGGCUCACCAAGGCGACGAUCGAUAGCUGGUCUGAGAGGAUGAUCAGCCACAUUGGGACUGAGACACGGCCCAAACUCCUACGGGAGGCAGCAGUGGGGAAUAUUGGACAAUGGGCGCAAGCCUGAUCCAGCCAUGCCGCGUGAGUGAUGACGGCCUUAGGGUUGUAAAGCUCUUUCGCUAGGGACGAUAAUGACGGUACCUAGACAAGAAGCCCGGCUAACUUCGCGCCAGCAGCCGC